GAAAGAGGGGGACCUUCGGGCCUCUCGCUAUUGGAUGAGCCUGCGUCGGAUUAGCUUGUUGGUAGGGUAAUGGCCUACCAAGGCGACGAUCCGUAGCUGGUCUGAGAGGACGAUCAGCCACACUGGGACUGANACACGGCCCAGACUCCUACGGGAGGCAGCAGUGGGGAAUAUUGGACAAUGGGCGAAAGCCUGAUCCAGCAAUACCGCGUGUGUGAAGAAGGCCUACGGGUUGUAAAGCACUUUCAGUAGGGAAGAAAUGCUCAAGGCUAAUACCCUUGAGAGCUGACAUUACCUACAGAAGAAGCACCGGCUAACUCUGUGCCAGCAGCCGCGGUAAUACAGAGGGUGCAAGCGUUAAUCGGAGUUACUGGGCGUAAAGCGUGCGUAGGCGGAUAUUUAAGUCGGAUGUGAAAGCCCCGGGCUCAACCUGGGAACUGCAUUCGAUACUGGAUGUCUGGAGUAUGGUAGAGGAAAGUGGAAUUUCCGGUGUAGCGGUGAAAUGCGUAGAUAUCGGAAGGAACACCAGUGGCGAAGGCGACUUUCUGGACCAAUACUGACGCUGAGGUACGAAAGCGUGGGGAGCAACAGGAUUAGAGACCCUGG
RNAcentral lists this ribosomal RNA (606 nucleotides) under uncultured bacterium. RNAcentral describes it as "bacterial SSU rRNA". It matches the Rfam family "Bacterial small subunit ribosomal RNA", at positions 202 to 790 of the family's 1533-position model. The record is from RNAcentral.